Molecule: long non-coding RNA, 299 nt
Filed under: Elaeis guineensis (African oil palm)
Lineage: Eukaryota; Viridiplantae; Streptophyta; Magnoliopsida; Arecales; Arecaceae
Description: long non-coding RNA (EGUI_LNC015746)
Source: RNAcentral
GAUGAAAUGGGGUGCCCAGCUGGCGAACAUACUUUGAUUCUCUUCCUGCAUCAAAAACCAUGCGCAUUAGGAGUGGACUGUUUUUUUUUUCGUUCCUCCUAUCGGGAUCUGAGGCAGGCAGGGAGUAUGCUUGCUGUUUGGUUGGUUUUUGGGGACACGAAUAUGUCAAAAUAUUGGUUCUUAGCUUGGUGAAAGUGUUCGGUUGUUGGUAUAACAUGACUCUUCUUUAGUCAAAUUUUGCUAUGCUUGUGGUAGUUCUAUGAACCCCGCGACAAAAAUAUAUACUUAAAAAAUAAUAG